RNAcentral lists this ribosomal RNA (1141 nucleotides) under human gut metagenome. Its description in RNAcentral is "bacterial LSU rRNA". It matches the Rfam family "Bacterial large subunit ribosomal RNA", at positions 750 to 1980 of the family's 2925-position model. The record is from RNAcentral.
GUGGAAGUAAAAUUCCAUGGAGGACCGAACCGACCUCCGUUGAAAAGGCGGCGGAUGAACUGUGGGUAGCGGAGAAAUUCCAAUCGAACCCGGAGAUAGCUGGUUCUCCCCGAAAUAGUUUUAGGACUAGCCUCAAGUUAGAUACCUGGAGGUAAAGCACUGAAUAGCCUAGCGGCCGAGAGGUUAGCGAAGCUUAUCAAACUCAGAAUGCCAGAGUAUUGAUGCUUGGGAGUCAGACAGUGUCAGAUAAAUGUCAUUGUCAAAAGGGAAACAGCCCAGAUCUACAGCUAAGGUCCCAAAGUCAGGUUAAGUGGAAAACGAUGUGAAGAUACGCAGACAACCAGGAUGUUGGCUCAGAAGCAGCCACUCAUUCAAAGAGUGCGUAAUAGCUCACUGGUCGAGCGUCUUUGCGCGGAGAAUUUAACGGGGCUAAACCUGACACCGAAGCUUAGGCAAUACAGCAAUGUAUUGGGUAGGGGAGCGUUGUAUACGCGGUGAAACAGUAGCGCAAGCGGCUGUGGAGUGUAUAGAAGUGAGAAUGCCGGAAUGAGUAGCGCGAAUGCAGUGAGAAUCUGCAUGGCCGAAAGCCUCAGGUUUCUGGAGGAAGGUUCGUCCGCUCCAGGUUAGUCGGGAGCUAAGGUGAGGCCUAACGGCGUAGCCGAUGCACAGACGGUAGAGAUUCCGUCACCACCAAAAGAGUUAAACACAGGGACACAUAUGAAGUCUCGGAGCCGGGUGUUGGUUCCGGUAGCGAUCGAGGGAAGUUAGUACCGAAGUCCGGGAUGGAAGAUGGCGAGAAAAGCUGUGUGUAUUUCUGCGGUGCCCGUACCGCAAACCGACACAGGUAGGUAGGAAGAAGAUUCUAAGGCCAACGGGAGAAGGGUUGUUAAGGAACUCGGCAAAUUGACCCCGUAACUUCGGGAGAAGGGGUGCUCCAGAGAUGGAGCCGCAGAGAAUCGGCCCAAGCAACUGUUUACCAAAAACACAGGUUUGUGCUAAAUCGAAAGAUGACGUAUACGAGCUGACGCCUGCCCGGUGCUGGAAGGUUAAGAGGAGAUGUGCAAGCAUUGAAUCGAAGCCCCAGUGAACGGCGGCCGUAACUAUAACGGUCCUAAGGUAGCGAAAUUCCUUGUCAGGUAAG